GAUUAUUAGUCACCACUCUCCAGCUGGGCUCCGCUAUUGGCGCCAAGAAUGCGAAGCUCCUCAUCUUGACCAUGAAUGUGACGCAGCUCACGCCCGCACGAGAGCCUCCACAGCGAACCUUUCGCCACGGCCGAGCCAGCCCCUGGUGUGUGGCUAGGACCUCGACAACAAUGCUAAGCGCCUACGAUGUCCAUGGUGGGGCCGAUACAUCCAUGAAGACAAAUUGCGGCCGCCAGAGCCUAUGCUCCGCCGGCGGCCUGUACACGCUUUCGCCGCACUCGCUUGAAGCUGUAACGGACCUUUUAAUUGCAGUGCCACAGUCUGAGCAAUCGGCAUAUCGUAGAUAUUACUUUUUAAAAGAUGAAGAUUUUAAAGAUUUAAAGUGAAGUUCCCCCUCCUCUCAACCCGGCGCCUGUCAACCCUCUCCCGGCGCCCCUGUCAACCCUCUCCCGGCGCCCCUGUUAACCCUCCCGCCACAGUGGAAGGAUAAUUAAUGGUAUAGCGUCGCGUGAGGCAGAACAAGUUACGUUCAAAAAUUGUGUGUACAUGAACGCAAAUCCUAAAAUUGAAAAUCCUAAGCCCCGAGCACUGCAGAAACAUUUGAAAACGUCGAGCUUUCUUUCUUCCAGCAAAGAGCUCAACAAUUUAAAGGGAAAAAACCGUUUAUCUAGAAAAGAAGUACACCAGACAACCAAGAGAUUGUCUCUGAGAGGCAAACUGGUAUAGCUGCAAGGAACAAACUCAAGGAUAAAUAUCGUUGCCUCAAUGGGUCACACAU
Long non-coding RNA from Hyalella azteca, 778 nucleotides. RefSeq lists it as uncharacterized. Lineage: Eukaryota; Metazoa; Arthropoda; Malacostraca; Amphipoda; Hyalellidae. The transcript is spliced from 3 exons. The record is from RefSeq and is a predicted model, not a curated record.